AAUCUACCAAAUAGAGUUACCAGCCUUUGAAGAAAUGACACCAGAAGGUGCUAGAAACCCAAAAGGUAAUGGGCCUCACCAUUAAGGAAUAGAUCGGUCUUACAAUCCUAACCCAAGAAGAAAGCCCCAAUGUAGUUUGGGUUUGGGUACCCAUAGGGUACACAUUUGUUGCAAUGCACAUGCAAGAUACUUGGCCUAGACCUUUGCCAGUGUUCCCUGGUCCUGUGAUGAAGCAGUCAAGGAGACCUUAUGCCCUGCAAAAAAAUCAGAGACAGACAACUUUCUCGGUGAAGAGACUUGUAGACCCUCACGUGAGUAAAGAGGCCAACACGUG
Molecule: long non-coding RNA, 334 nt
Filed under: Carica papaya (papaya)
Lineage: Eukaryota; Viridiplantae; Streptophyta; Magnoliopsida; Brassicales; Caricaceae
Description: long non-coding RNA (CPAP_LNC015191)
Source: RNAcentral